GGAUGAACGCUAGCGGCAGGCUUAACACAUGCAAGUCGAGGGGCAACACGGGUAGCAAUACCUGGUGGCGACCGGCGCAAGGGUGCGUAACGCGUGAGCAACAUACCCUAUACAGGGGGAUAAUCCAGGGAAACUUGGUCUAAUAUCCCAUAGGAUUUACAGAUGUCAUCAUCUAUAAAUUAAAGCUUCGGUGGUAUAGGAUUGGCUCGCGUGACAUUAGCUAGAUGGUGGGGUAACGGCCUACCAUGGCCAUGAUGUCUAGGGGUUCUGAGAGGAAGACCCCCCACACUGGGACUGAGACACGGCCCAGACUCCUACGGGAGGCAGCAGUGAGGAAUAUUGGACAAUGGAUGGAAAUCUGAUCCAGCCAUGCCGCGUGCAGGAAGACGGCCCUAUGGGUUGUAAACUGCUUUUAUAUGGGAGCAAUAAGGUCUACGCGUAGACCGAUGAGAGUACCAUAUGAAUAAGCAUCGGCUAACUCCGUGCCAGCAGCCGCGGUAAUACGGAGGAUGCGAGCGUUAUCCGGAUUUAUUGGGUUUAAAGGGUGCGUAGGCGGCCUUAUAAGUCAGCGGUGAAGUUUUGCAGCUUAACUGUAACAGUGCCGUUGAUACUGUAGGGCUAGGAUUUGGUUGCUGUGGGUGGAAUGUGUGGUGUAGCGGUGAAAUGUUUAGAUAUCACACAGAAUAUCGAUUGCGAAGGCAGCUCACAAAGCCAAGAUUGACGCUGAGGCACGAAAGUGUGGGGAUCAAACAGGAUUAGAUACCCUGGUAGUCCACACUGUAAACGAUGAUAACUCGCUGCCGGCGAUACACAGUCGGUGGCCAAGCGAAAGCGAUAAGUUAUCCACCUGGGGAGUACGACCGCAAGGUUGAAACUCAAAGGAAUUGACGGGGGCCCGCACAAGCG
Molecule: ribosomal RNA, 906 nt
Filed under: uncultured bacterium
Lineage: Bacteria
Description: bacterial SSU rRNA
Rfam family: Bacterial small subunit ribosomal RNA
Source: RNAcentral